This 45-nucleotide non-coding RNA is filed under the name Schistosoma mansoni. The record is from RNAcentral. Lineage: Eukaryota; Metazoa; Platyhelminthes; Trematoda; Strigeidida; Schistosomatidae.
AUGCUUGUGACGAGUCCCAAAUAGGACGAAACGCGCGUCAUGGAU